CGUUCUUCUCGCAGAGGUGAGAUGCUGAGGCGUAAUGUCACAACGUGUGUAAACAAGACUAUUGGUAUAAAAAUGAGAGAUUAGAUGCAAGUAGGUUGGUAUAAAUACAUUGCAGUAUCAUAUCCUUGCUUCACAUCAAAAAGAUUACGAUGAAGCCUUUGAACUUCUACAUUGCCACAUUCUUGAUCCUUUGCACUUUUGCAGUUGAGUCGAUGCGUAUAUCAGGAGUGUCACAGGACAACGUUUAUUUAAGUCUAUCGGACAUGCGCAGUCAAGAUGCAACGCCACAAUACAAAACCCCAGAAAAUAUAGAGAAAGACAUUCAAGCCAUAAAGGAAAGAAAGAAAUUGUUAAAACUUCUAAAAUCAAGCGGUAAAAAAGCUGAAUUGAACGAGUUUAAAGGAUUGUGGGGAAAACGUUCCUUCUUUUAAGUUGACUAGCAAAACCUGGACAGUUUUAAUGUAUUUCUUUAUUUACUUCUUAAAAAUAUAUUUCAUUUUAAUA
Long non-coding RNA from Hydractinia symbiolongicarpus, 504 nucleotides. RefSeq lists it as uncharacterized. The record is from RefSeq and is a predicted model, not a curated record. NCBI's taxonomy places the organism in Eukaryota, Metazoa, Cnidaria, Hydrozoa, Anthoathecata, Hydractiniidae. The transcript has 2 exons.